AUUGAACGCUGGCGGAAUGCUUUACACAUGCAAGUCGAACGGCAGCACGGGUGCUUGCACCUGGUGGCGAGUGGCGAACGGGUGAGUAAUGCACCGGAACGUAUCCAAUAAUGGGGGAUAACGCACCGAAAGGUGUGCUAAUACCGCAUACGCCCUGAGGGGGAAAGCGGGGGAUCGUAAGACCUCGCGUUAAUGGAGCGGCCGAUGCCGGAUUAGCUAGUUGGUGAGGUAAAGGCUCACCAAGGCGACGAUCCGUAGCUGGUCUGAGAGGACGACCAGCCACACUGGAACUGAGACACGGUCCAGACUCCUACGGGAGGCAGCAGUGGGGAAUUUUGGACAAUGGGCGCAAGCCUGAUCCAGCCAUUCCGCGUGAGUGAAGAAGGCCUCGGUUGUAAAGACGUCUUCGGUUGGGGGUAAGGAAAAGUUUAGGACACAGGAUAAUACCUUAGUGUAGA
This 458-nucleotide ribosomal RNA is filed under the name uncultured bacterium. RNAcentral describes it as "bacterial SSU rRNA". It matches the Rfam family "Bacterial small subunit ribosomal RNA", at positions 30 to 489 of the family's 1533-position model. The record is from RNAcentral.